RNAcentral lists this ribosomal RNA (1542 nucleotides) under human gut metagenome. Its description in RNAcentral is "bacterial LSU rRNA". It matches the Rfam family "Bacterial large subunit ribosomal RNA", at positions 1289 to 2925 of the family's 2925-position model. The record is from RNAcentral.
UGAGAAUGCCGGAAUGAGUAGCGAGAAUUAUGUGAGAAUCAUAAUGGCCGAAAGUCUAAGGUUUCCUGAGGAAGGUUCGUCCUCUCAGGGUUAGCCGGGAGCUAAGGUGAGGCGGAAACGCGUAGCCGAUGCACAUACGGUAGAAAUUCCGUAGCCUCCGAAGAUUUAAGCACAGGGACACUUUUGAAGGGCUGAGCCGGGCGUUGGUUGCCCCGGUCGAAAGGGACACGAUUGAGUGGAAGUCAGUUUGGAAAGAGGCGAGAAAAGCUGUGUGUAUAUGAAAGGAGCCCGUACCGCAAACCGACACAGGUAGACAGGAAGAAGAUUCUAAGGCCAGCGGGAGAAGGGUUGUUAAGGAACUCGGCAAGUUGACCCCGUAACUUCGGGAGAAGGGGUGCUUACGAAGGUAAGCCGCAGAGAAUAGGCCCAAGCGACUGUUUAGCAAAAACACAGCUCUAUGCUAAAUCGAAAGAUGACGUAUAUGGGGUGACACCUGCCCGGUGCUGGAAGGUUAAGAGGAGAUGUGAGAGCAUUGAAUUGAAGCCCCAGUAAACGGCGGCCGUAACUAUAACGGUCCUAAGGUAGCGAAAUUCCUUGUCAGGUAAGUUCUGACCCGCACGAAUGGCGUAACGAUUUGGGCACUGUCUCAACAGCCCGCCCGGCGAAAUUGUAGUACCGGUGAAGAUGCCGGUUACCCGCGACUAGACGGAAAGACCCCAUGGAGCUUCACUGCAGCUUAAUAUUGGAUUUCGGUAUUUCAUGUACAGGAUAGGUGGGAGACUGGGAAAUACAGGCGUCAGCUUGUAUGGAGUCAUUGUUGGGAUACCACUCUUGAGGUGCUGGAAUUCUAACCUGUGGCCUUGAAUCAGGUCAGGGGACAUUGUUAGGCGGGCAGUUUGACUGGGGCGGUCGCCUCCUAAAAGGUAACGGAGGCGCUCAAAGGUUCGCUCAGCAUGGACGGAAACCAUGCCAAAGAGUGUAAACGCAUAAGCGAGCCUAACUGCGAGACUGACGGGUCGAGCAGUAACGAAAGUUGGAGUUAGUGAUCCGGCGGUAUAUGUGAGUGGAAAUGCCGUCGCUCAACGGAUAAAAGCUACCCUGGGGAUAACAGGCUGAUCUCCCCCAAGAGUCCACAUCGACGGGGAGGUUUGGCACCUCGAUGUCGGCUCAUCGCAUCCUGGGGCUGAAUUCGGUCCCAAGGGUUUGGCUGUUCGCCAAUUAAAGCGGUACGCGAGCUGGGUUCAGAACGUCGUGAGACAGUUCGGUCCCUAUCUGUCGUGGGCGUUGGAGAUUUGAAAGGAGCUGUCCCUAGUACGAGAGGACCGGGAUGGACGCACCUCUGGUGCACCAGUUGUCACGCCAGUGGCACAGCUGGGCAGCUAUGUGCGGAACGGAUAAACGCUGAAAGCAUCUAAGCGUGAAGCCGCCCUUAAGAUAAGAUCUCCUUUAAGACCCCUUGUAGACUACGAGGUUGAUAGGUCUGAUGUGUAAGCACGGUGACGUGUUUAGCUUGCAGAUACUAAUCGGUCGUUCGCUUUUCCU